GCAGGCGCAAGACCCGGCCGCCUAUCUGCGGCUUCCCAGGCCCAUGAGAGUGACUGCGCAUGUGCACAGAGGUUAGGCCCGGUAAUUGCGCGGGACCAGACCACGUGUGUUCCUUGUGCCAGAGGAGGCUGCAAGAGAGCAUUGGAUCCCUUGGAACUGGAGUAACAAGGCACCCUCAGAGGGCAGAGACAUCAGAAACCCUGGAGCUGGAGUUACAAGGCAGUUGGAAGCCAUUUGAACCUGGGUCCUCUGCAAGAACAGUAUGUUCUCUUAACCAUUGAGCCAUCUCUCCAGCCCAAGAAGUAUUACUCCCUGGCACCCACUAAUCUGCUGUCCGAACGGAGGGACUGCCUACUGUGGAUACUUCAGAUGAACGGGAUGAUGUAAUUAGUGUCCAGCAGCUUUUGCUCAGCGCCCUGUUUGCAGGUUUCAUCCAUGUGGCAGCAUGUGUCAAUGACUUCAUUCUUUUUAUAGUCAAUAACAUCCUAUUGUACAGACAGACUGUAUUUUGUUUAUCCAGCCAGCCAUUGAUGACUACCUGAGCUGUUUCCAUCUUCUGUCUAUUGUAUUCAUGAGACUCGCUGGUCCAGACAGGUCGGUCCUUCCUAGUAGUUCUGGGAAGGGUGAGACCUAGGUUGUUCUGAUCCAGGAAGCCCCUCUCUCAAUUUCAUUUUAGGUUGCACUCUCAGUAUGAAUGGCACCCACUGAAUCUGGACAGUUCUCAGUGAGGUCUUGGGUUUCUUUGCCAGGGCAUAGCAUCCAGCCUUAAGUCAAAGCUUUGGAGACGGUUAAUGUCUGCAGGACCACGCCUCUCCAAGGAAGCAUUUGUAUGCGGUGUGUGUGGGAACCUCUCUCACUUCACAUUACAACACCCUUCCCUCGAACUGUAAAUGAAAUCCUUGAGAAGAGUCUGGUCAAAUGCCAACCUUGCAGAUCGGGAAAGUGAUUAUUAUGAAAGUAUUUGAGGUCUGGAGAGAUGGCUUCUUACAGAGGGCUGGGGUUGGUUCCUAGCACCAAUAUGGAGGUUUACAACCAGGUAAAACUGUUCCAGGGUAUCUGGCUCCCUCUUCUGGCCUCUGCAGGCAGCGGCAUUUUACA
Myodes glareolus (Bank vole) is the source of this 1098-nucleotide non-coding RNA. NCBI's taxonomy places the organism in Eukaryota, Metazoa, Chordata, Mammalia, Rodentia, Cricetidae. The record is from RefSeq and is a predicted model, not a curated record.